This 292-nucleotide ribosomal RNA is filed under the name uncultured bacterium. RNAcentral describes it as "partial 16S ribosomal RNA". It matches the Rfam family "Bacterial small subunit ribosomal RNA", at positions 505 to 796 of the family's 1533-position model. The record is from RNAcentral.
GUGUCAGCAGCCGCGGUAAUACGGAGGGUGCAAGCGUUAUCCGGAUUCACUGGGUUUAAAGGGUGCGUAGGUGGGCUAGUAAGUCCGUGGUGAAAUCUCCAAGCUUAACUUGGAAACUGCCGUGGAUACUAUUAGUCUUGAAUAUUGUGGAGGUAAGCGGAAUAUGUCAUGUAGCGGUGAAAUGCUUAGAUAUGACAUAGAACACCGAUAGCGAAGGCAGCUUGCUACACAAUCAUUGACACUGAGGCACGAAAGCGUGGGGAUCAAACAGGAUUAGAUACCCCCGUAGUCC